This is a non-coding RNA of Ictidomys tridecemlineatus (thirteen-lined ground squirrel), 4897 nucleotides long. The record is from RefSeq and is a predicted model, not a curated record. NCBI's taxonomy places the organism in Eukaryota, Metazoa, Chordata, Mammalia, Rodentia, Sciuridae.
CGCUCCCGGCUGCACGUGCUGCCCCCGCCGCCGCCCUCGCCAGACAAAGCGGGGCCCUCCCGGGCGCGCUUCCUAGGCCCCCUUCCCUCGGCGAACCCUUUGAUUCUUCCCGGCUCCGGUCUUCAUCUCGCACUUGGUCCCACCCCUCUCAACUGCUUCCUGGAGUGCCUCCUUUGUGCUCGCCACCUCAACUUUGGCCUUCCUUCCAAGGCUCUGCCUUUAAAAGCGACUCCAUCUGACCCCUCCCCCACUCGUCUCCUUUGGCAGCUCAGUCCAUUUGUUGUAAGGGCGACCGCUCCCUGCUCUUGGGCAUUUUUCAGCUCCACGCUACCUUUUCUAUUGUCCUCUCCCCUUCUCUCAGAACCUUCUUUCUGUCCUCAGCCCUUUAAAGACUCUUCCAGAAACUCGCCUGGCAUUGUCUCUUUCCCGGGUUGUGGGACAGCUAGAGGGAUUGCAAAUAUCCACCUAGAUUGAGUCCCCUUUGUAUCUCGCUAUCACCACCUUUUCCCCCGUGUCACUCUGAAAUCACAUUAUUGGGCACCAUGGUUGGGGAUACGGGGGUUCUGCUGCUGUUGUUGUGCCCAUUGACCGUCUCCGUUUGUAAAUUCAAGUAAAGGAAGCUACUGGGAACUGGCCAGAGACCCUUGAAAUGCGACUUGAGUAUUAAGCAUUCUCUCUUACCCCAUCUCUGUGACGCCUUGCUUUGUUUUACACACCACAUGCCUCGCCCCAUCUCUGGACACCGCCACCCCCAGCAGCCACAUUGUUCAUCCUUUGGCACCAGCUCUGGAGUAGGAAAGGGCAGGUCCUCCUGUCCAGGAAGGAAGUUCUGGAAAGUCAAGCCCAAGGCCAUCCCCAGAACCGAGGUUCUGCUGCCAUCUCCCAGAACCCUGGCAUGGACUCCCUGCCUGAGCUUGGAGCAGGCAGAGGUUUUGGUGGGCAGAGUUGAAUGUAUGUUGCAAAUGGCUAGAGGUGUUCAGCCACCUUUGAAGGAUGGGACCUGUGGACCUGUGUCGCUUGAGUCAUCUGAGAACCUCUGGAGGCAGGUGGGCGUGGAGUGGGAUUCAUUCUGCCCUGAAUUUGAGAAGAAAAGACUGCUUCUGGGAGUUUUGCUCUUGUUUGCAUUCAGAUCCUCUCAGGGUUCUUUACUUUGAAGAAUGAACAGAAGCCAGGGGCUCAGUUUGACAAGGGCUCUGCAGGGGAAUGGCGGGACGCGGCUGUGAGCUGCGGGAAGCUCUUCUCCUGCCCGGAUGAUGGAUGUGACAGGCCUCUGCGAGAGAGUCAGCCAGAUGCCAGUUGCUUUUCUGGUAUUAGCUCUUGCUGGUGGGGUUCAGCUGGAAAGCCCAGGCAGGUACGAUAUGGACGUCAAAGGAGGGCCAGAGGCAGCUUGUUUGAUUCAGGGUCCUCAAGGCCCUGGACACCUGGGAGGCAGCUCUUGGAGUUCUGCCUGUACAGGACCUGGCUAUAAAGAGGAGACGCUGAGUUGAGGACUGAAGAGCCGAGGUGCCGAUCAAUCCAGAGGAUCUGAUCUUAUGCCUGGUGCAUCUUAUGCCUGGUGCACUAGGCGCAGUGACCAGAGAGAGUCCUUGUGCCCAGUGGGCCUCAUCAAGCUUUGAGAGCUUGGACACGUAACCCGGGCAACUCAGGUCUAGCCAUUCUCGGAUUCUCCAAAGCCACUGGGCCUUCCCUGUGAACCCCCCUGCACUCCCCCUCCCUAGCUGCCAGUCUCUGUGUUCGAUUGUUUGGUUUUAUCUUCAUCCUUGGCUGAGAUGUUCGGGAGCUAGCUGGGCUUAGAGGACUAAAAGGCAAAGAGGCUUACCUUCACUUUCAGGAUCACAUCCAAAUCCUCCCGUAGCAGGUGUUCAAGCCUUUGUGUCUGCUCCCUGCCUGCCUUUCCCACCUUGCUUUUUGACAACAUCCAGCAGAUAUGGCACUUCAGUUGUACUUUUCCAGAACAUGCCGUGCUCUUGUGCUUUUGUGUCUCUGCCCAUGCAGAGCACAUCCUUCCCUUCCCCCAAUCCAGAGAUGCCUGGCUCAUCCUUUGAGGCCUUCCAAGCAGUUUGGGCCUCAUCUGUUCUGGAGAUCCUUUCCUAGCUCUCGAAUCUGGAGUAAAAUGUACCUUCUCUGUUCUCCCAGAGGAGUGUGCAGGUGCCCCUGUCACCAUAUUCAGUAGUGGUAUUUUGUGCCUUUGUCUUCCCAACAAGGAAACAAUUUCUUCUGGGGUUUCCCAAGUUCUCAACAUAGUGCCCGAUAUGGAAUCAGUACUUGUUUAUUUGUUCAGUUGCUAAUCUGUCUAUGUCAUCCCACCCCCAGUAGAAUUUAAGCUUUAUGAGAGCCAGGAUCUUGUCUUUCGUUUAUUGUCCAACUCCAAUGUCUAACAAAGUCUCCAAUAAAUAUUUGUUGAAUGAAUGCAUGGAGUCAUGGGCUGUGAUUCACAUUUUGUUUUCCCCUGGCUGCCCCAGUGACCUCAUGUGAGCUCCUUGGCAUACCUAGCAUGGUGUGGUGGGACUGUGUCCAGCACACCACCCUAAUGCAGUGCUUCUAGUCUUCGCUGCUGGCAUCUUGCUCCUGUGACCAGUUCUCUGCAGGACUCCCAGCCUUGUGCUUGGGCAACUCUCAAGUACAGAGGAGUCAACUGUGGGUAGGUAAGUCUUGGGAAACCCAGAACCAAUGGAUAAAUGCUUUUCUCCUUCUUCCCCUGGUUGAUCAACCUGAGAUCCACUUCAGAGUUUUCCUGUGGCACUGGUUGACCAGCUGACACUUGGUGGUAGACAGCUUCAUAGGAAUCCCUGGAUUGGCUCUCCUCCCCUGCUUCUGCCUCCUGGGAUCACAUCCUCAAAUGUACGACUUGCACAAAAGCCUUUGUCCCAGGCUCUGCUUUGGGGGGAACUCAGGUGAUGAUGACUAGGUUCCCCUCCUGGCUCUGCCACUUCAUAGUCCUGUCUUUGGGUAAAACUCUGUAACCUCAAUGCUUCUGUUUCCUCACCUGAAAAGGGAGUAUGGAAAUACCAUGGCACAGGAUUCUGUGAUGCGGGAUAACGUGGUACGUGGUGGGUGAGCGUGUCGGACUCAGUACCUGCGUGUAUCAUCAGGCUCUCACUAAAGAUUUCUUUUCUUCUUGCCUGUUUUUGUAAAAGGCAGGUCGGGGAAGUCUGCUUGGCCUCCUGGCUGGCAAGGCCUGUUGCUGAGCGUGAUCUCCACUCUGGUGGGAAAACCAGAGCAGAGGAGCAAAGGGUGACUAGGCCAGAUGACUCAGGGAUUUGGCAACUGGAUCAUUCUUCUCUGGAGCAUUCUGUAAACAUUGGUCAAUGGACUCUUGCAACAUGCCUGGCAGGUGGAAGCGGGAAGGAGUGAGGGUGUGGAGGAUGUGGAGGCCGGGAGAGGCCAAACGCGUUGCUCACAGGGGCCGAUGCCGGCGUGUCUGAGAUGCUUUUCCAGAACACCAGCAGGAGGCAUCUUUGUGGAGGGGGCAGGGCUGGUGAUGAGUUCUCAGGUUCUCUUUUUGUCCCCACUUCCUUCCUGUCAACUCUGUAGCCUCUCCCAGAUGGCAUUCUCUUACUGCAGAGAACAAUCCCAGAGUUCUUCAUGCUCCGGUGCCCAAAAUAGCUGAAGGCCCAAAGCAAUGAAAACUUAAGAGAACGGUUUCUGGCCUUACCAUAAGGAUGGGAGAGGGAUCCGGGGGCUGGGCUCCGCCGGGCUCCCCCUGAGCUUAUGCACCAUAUGCCUCCUCAGCCUGCGGGGAAGCAGGGACCAGAGGCCCAAGCCCCCUGGCCCUCUUGCACCUGGCCAGCGAGUCCUGCUCCCUGAGCAUGCUGCACCUGCCUUCAGGCCCCUGUGCCUGGCCAUCGGCUGCACUUGGAGACCUACUGCUCACACACACUGCGCUCCCAGUGACCUCCUUUCCUGCUCCCUCGUCAGCUGCUGGCUGUGGAGGUACUAGCAGAGUGAGCCAAAGAUAUGGGAACUUUCUCUACAGGGAAGUUGCUGCCAGGGGAGGGAAGAGGAAGAGUGAAAACCGGGGAGGAUGCAGGCAGUGAGAACUGCCAGCUAAACUGCCAGGGGAUUUCAUCUGGAGGCUCCUAAUUCCCAAAUUGCUACACUCAUCUGAGGAUGAACAUAGGAAUGGUUACACGGGUCUACGCUGUUUGCACACGCAGAAGCCAGCGUGGGUGGCUGGUCAAACGGGUUCCCAGCCCCAACCCUCCUUUCCAACUUCUGGUCCUGUCUGCACUCCAUUCCCACGUGGCCAUUGGGUUGGAUGAGUCGUCUUUCAUCACAGUGGUUCUCAAAGUGUGGUUCCUGGACCAGCAGCAUCAGCCUCUCUUGGAACUUGAAAUGCAGAUUUCAUAAAUGGAGCCCAGGCCCACGGGAUCCAGCUCUCAGGAUGCAGCCCAGCCAUCUGGGCUUAGCAAGCCCUCUGAGGGAUUCUGAGCCACCAGAUCUGCUAGAGUUUGAGUAAAGAAAUCCUUGUCCAGAGCAGAGAGGCCAAGGCAGAGGUCAGGGCCAGGCUUCCUGGAGAACAAGGCACUGGUGGCACACCCCACCCCAAGCAAUGACGACGAUGGAGCCACCUAGCACCCAGGGUGCUGAGUGGGCACUUUUCACUGACAUUUCUCCUCCCAGGGAAGGGAAACCACAGAGGUAGAAAGGCUUUUCCACCAAGGAUGUGGAGAAACUGGGAGAAAGGGGCAGUGAAAAGAGAAAGAGAAGAAAGGAAAGAAGAGGGGAAAAUGGUUUCCCUCAGAGGCAGCACUAAAGAAAGCAGCUCAGCAUUAAAAGGCAGUGGCAGGUCGGUCAUGGUGGCCCAUGCCUGUAAUCCCAGCUACUCAGGAGGCUGAGGCAGGAGGGUCACAAGUUCAAGGCCAGCCUGGGCAACUUGGCAAGAUCCUGUCUCAAA